CGGACGGGUGAGUAACGCGUGGAUAACCUGCCUCACACUGGGGGAUAACAGUUAGAAAUGACUGUUAAUACCGCAUAAGCGCACAGUACCGCAUGGUACAGUGUGAAAAACUCCGGUGGUGUGAGAUGGAUCCGCGUCUGAUUAGCCAGUUGGCGGGGUAACGGCCCACCAAAGCGACGAUCAGUAGCCGACCUGAGAGGGUGACCGGCCACAUUGGGACUGAGACACGGCCCAA
This 235-nucleotide ribosomal RNA is filed under the name uncultured bacterium. RNAcentral's name for it is "partial 16S ribosomal RNA". It matches the Rfam family "Bacterial small subunit ribosomal RNA", at positions 99 to 334 of the family's 1533-position model. The record is from RNAcentral.